UACCAAGCAUUUGAUUGCUCAUCUGCUUUGGAGAAAGUUGGGGCUUUCCUGCUGAGAUGAUCUGAAAGGUCUUAAUUCUGAAAGAUGAAAGCCUCCACCUGUUGGCUGGCACUGGCGCCUGACAGUUUUCUCCAUCCUUUGAAUGAAGGCCACCACGAGUGGUCAUGUUAACCAAAUAUUUUGAAUCUUAGCCACCAUAAUCCAUGGGCACCAGCUGUGAAAAGUGCAGGACAAACAUCUUCCUCCACCUGUGAGUCUCUUCCCACAUAUAGAUAAG
Molecule: non-coding RNA, 277 nt
Organism: Paramisgurnus dabryanus
Lineage: Eukaryota; Metazoa; Chordata; Actinopteri; Cypriniformes; Cobitidae
Source: RefSeq, a predicted model, not a curated record